This 758-nucleotide long non-coding RNA is filed under the name Gopherus agassizii (Agassiz's desert tortoise). Its description in RNAcentral is "lncRNA (ENSGAGG00000014345.1)". The record is from RNAcentral. Lineage: Eukaryota; Metazoa; Chordata; Testudines; Testudinidae.
UUAAGUCUCACAAUCAGGCAUUUUCUCCAGCCCCCUGAAUCACUUUUAUGGCUCAUUUCUGAAUCCUCUCCAGUUUUUCAAUGUCGUUUUUAAAAUCUGGACACCAGAACUGGGUGUGGUAUUCCAGUAUCAGACUCACCAGUGCCUUAUACAGGGGUAAAAUCACCUCCCUGCUUCUAGUAGCUACUCCCCUGUUUAUGCAUGCAGGGAUUUUAUCUGUCUUUCAGGUGAAGUUGGGAAGCCAGGGAGUCCAUGUUGCAACGUGAGGAAGUUGGGGGCAAGAACUCUGAAGACAAGAUUGGCUGGUUUUGCUUCUCCCUCCUCACCCUGGAUCCCUUAAAGGAAUCACAGAUGUGCACACUCGCUCCUCUGACACCAGCUCAGACCUUUAUUUCUUGCUUCGAAUGUUGGCAUCCUCUAUCAUCCUGUUUUCUCUUCACCCCAAAUAAACAAAUGUAGAUCCUUUCCCAUUGACCUGGGAGCCACCACUGCAGUCCUGCUACAUCUUGCAGCUGUUGUGCUGAACAGCUGGGAGACAGUGAGAGAGAUGGAGCUGAGAGGCAAUGCUAUGUGAACCAAAUUCAGCAACGGUUUUGAGUUUAGGUAACUAGGGGAGUUCUGUUGAAGUCAGGACAAAUUUUCAGUGUCACGAGCAGAGAUGCCAAGCUGGACCCUCAAAACCAGGGCCAUCCCAGAAAACAUGAGCCAUUUGGUCAUCAAGAAUUCGAACUAGCUUUUGGGGUUCAGCUGAACAUAAG